CUACGGGUGGCUCCAGUGGGGAAUAUUGCACAAUGGACGAAAGUCUGAUGCAGCAACGCCGCGUGGAGGAUGACACAUUUCGGUGCGUAAACUCCUUUUAUAUAAGAAGAUAAUGACGGUAUUAUAUGAAUAAGCACCGGCUAACUCCGUGCCAGCAGCCGCGGUAAUACGGAGGGUGCAAGCGUUACUCGGAAUCACUGGGCGUAAAGAGCGUGUAGGCGGAUAGAUAAGUUGGAAGUGAAAUCCUAUGGCUCAACCAUAGAACUGCUUCCAAAACUGUCUAUCUAGAAUAUGGGAGAGGUAGAUGGAAUUUCUGGUGUAGGGGUAAAAUCCGUAGAGAUCAGAAGGAAUACCGAUUGCGAAGGCGAUCUACUGGAACAUUAUUGACGCUGAGACGCGAAAGCGUGGGGAGCAAACAGGAUUAGAUACCCCCGUAGUC
Molecule: ribosomal RNA, 439 nt
Filed under: uncultured bacterium
Lineage: Bacteria
Description: partial 16S ribosomal RNA
Rfam family: Bacterial small subunit ribosomal RNA
Source: RNAcentral